RNAcentral lists this unclassified non-coding RNA (432 nucleotides) under soil metagenome. RNAcentral describes it as "partial contains 5.8S ribosomal RNA, internal transcribed spacer 2, and large subunit ribosomal RNA". The stretch from base 1 to 120 matches the Rfam family "5.8S ribosomal RNA", at positions 35 to 154 of the family's 154-position model. The record is from RNAcentral.
GAUGAAGAACGUAGCGAAAUGCGAUACGUAAUGUGAAUUGCAGAAUUCAGUGAAUCAUCGCAUCUUUGAACGCAUAUUGCGCUCUCUGGUAUUCCGGAGAGCAUGCUUGUUUGAGUAUCAGUAAACACCUCAACUUCCAUAUCUUUUUUGAAAUGGGAGUUGGACUUGAGUGAUCCCAACGCUUUUCCUCACCGAAAAGUGGCGGGUUACUUGAAAUGCAGGUGCAGCUGGACUUUUCUCUGAGCUAUAAGCAUAUCUAUUUAGUCUGCCUAAAAAACAGAUUAUUACCUUUGCUGCAGCUAACAUAAAGGAGAUUAGUUCUUGUGCUGACUGAUGCAGGAUUCACAAAGACGGCUUCGGCCGACUUUGUAAACUCGAUCUCAAAUCAAGUAAGACUACCCGCUGAACUUAAGCAUAUCAAUAAGCGGAGGA